UUACGACCAUCUCACGUUGAAACACCGGUUCUUGCAGAAUCACCGAAGUUAAGCAACGUCGACCCCGGUUGGUACCUAGAUGGGUGAACAAUUGGGAAUAUCAGGUGCUGUGA
Acanthosepion pharaonis is the source of this 113-nucleotide non-coding RNA. The record is from the annotation of a GenBank genome assembly. NCBI's taxonomy places the organism in Eukaryota, Metazoa, Mollusca, Cephalopoda, Sepiida, Sepiidae.